UGGCUGUAGCUAAAUCGAUCAACGGGAGAGAAGUUAACUGGCCGGUUGUCGUGAGAUCCCUCUCAGUCGACUAAUCUGCUUACCGAACUUCUCACAUUC
RNAcentral lists this small nucleolar RNA (99 nucleotides) under Nelumbo nucifera (sacred lotus). RNAcentral describes it as "Small nucleolar RNA snoR109". It matches the Rfam family "Small nucleolar RNA snoR109". Lineage: Eukaryota; Viridiplantae; Streptophyta; Magnoliopsida; Proteales; Nelumbonaceae. The record is from Rfam by way of RNAcentral.